This 419-nucleotide ribosomal RNA is filed under the name uncultured bacterium. Its description in RNAcentral is "bacterial SSU rRNA". It matches the Rfam family "Bacterial small subunit ribosomal RNA", at positions 355 to 774 of the family's 1533-position model. The record is from RNAcentral.
UGAGGAAUAUUGCACAAUGGGCGCAAGCCUGAUGCAGCGACGCCGCGUGUGGGAUGAAGGGGCUACGCCUCGUAAACCACUGUAGCCCGGGACGAAAAACGCCUUAGAGGCGUUAGACGGUACCGGGAAAGUAAGGGUCGGCUAACUACGUGCCAGCAGCCGCGGUAAUACGUAGGACCCAAGCGUUGUCCGGAUUUACUGGGUGUAAAGGGUGCGCAGGCGGAUGGGUAAGUCAGGGGUGAAAGUCAGCAGCUUAACUGUAGAAUUGCCUUUGUGACUGCUCAUCUUGAGUGUGGUAGAGGUUGAUGGAAUUCCAGGUGUAGCAGUGAAAUGCGUAGAUAUCUGGAAGAACACCAGUGGCGAAGGCGGUCAACUGGCCCAUAACUGACGCUCAUGCACGAAAGCGUGGGGAGCAAACA